Long non-coding RNA from Oncorhynchus tshawytscha (Chinook salmon), 396 nucleotides. NCBI's taxonomy places the organism in Eukaryota, Metazoa, Chordata, Actinopteri, Salmoniformes, Salmonidae. The record is from Ensembl.
CUCCUUGUCUCUUUUUCGCUUAAAAUAAAAUUGAAUGGGCUUCAUUUUUAGCGAUGUUUGCCUGUUAACUUAUAGCCCAUAUCGAUACGUUUUUCCAGUGUUGUUCACCUUUCUCUCACUCUGACUGGACUGCGUCAUCACUGAAAACUCUACUGUGGUUGGUGCAUGCUGCUUGUGGAAUAUGCGACUUGUAGUUUUUAAACAAUUUGCAGCGGGGGAAAAAUAGAUUAGGGCCCUCGUCUCAUAGACUGCUGCUCACGCUGAGGCUUUCUGAAACCGACACAACCAACAGGAGGGACAGACACACGGACAGCACACGAGGACGUCUCCACGGCAAGAAGAGGUUUUCCUGCCUGACCAACCUCGUUAGAUAAGACACACACGCCUUUUUUCAGG